UCCCAGACUCCUACGGGAGGCAGCAGUGGGGAAUAUUGCACAAUGGGCGAAAGCCUGAUGCAGCGACGCCGCGUGAGUGAAGAAGUAUUUCGGUAUGUAAAGCUCUAUCAGCAGGGAAGAAAAUGACGGUACCUGACUAAGAAGCCCCGGCUAACUCCGUGCCAGCAGCCGCGGUAAUACGGGGGGUGCAAGCGUUGUCCGGAAUCAUUGGGCGUAAAGCGUUCGUAGACGGUGUGUCAAGUCUGAUGUUAAAGCCCGGGGCUCAACUCCGGUUCGGCAUUGGAUACUGGCAAACUAGAAUGUGGUAGAGGUAAAGGGAAUUCCUGGUGUAGCGGUGAAAUGCGUAGAUAUCAGGAGGAACAUCGGUGGCGAAAGCGCUUUACUGGACCAUUAUUGACGCUGAGGAACGAAAGCCAGGGGAGCAAAUGGGAUUAGAUACCCUCGUA
RNAcentral lists this ribosomal RNA (446 nucleotides) under uncultured bacterium. RNAcentral's name for it is "bacterial SSU rRNA". It matches the Rfam family "Bacterial small subunit ribosomal RNA", at positions 329 to 792 of the family's 1533-position model. The record is from RNAcentral.